RNAcentral lists this non-coding RNA (45 nucleotides) under Schistosoma curassoni. Lineage: Eukaryota; Metazoa; Platyhelminthes; Trematoda; Strigeidida; Schistosomatidae. The record is from RNAcentral.
AUCCAGCUUACUAGUCUCAAAUAGGACGAAACGCGCAUCCUGGAU